RNAcentral lists this ribosomal RNA (653 nucleotides) under Enterococcus faecalis. RNAcentral's name for it is "bacterial SSU rRNA". It matches the Rfam family "Bacterial small subunit ribosomal RNA", at positions 841 to 1494 of the family's 1533-position model. Lineage: Bacteria; Bacillati; Bacillota; Bacilli; Lactobacillales; Enterococcaceae. The record is from RNAcentral.
CAGUGCUGCAGCAAACGCAUUAAGCACUCCGCCUGGGGAGUACGACCGCAAGGUUGAAACUCAAAGGAAUUGACGGGGGCCCGCACAAGCGGUGGAGCAUGUGGUUUAAUUCGAAGCAACGCGAAGAACCUUACCAGGUCUUGACAUCCUUUGACCACUCUAGAGAUAGAGCUUUCCCUUCGGGGACAAAGUGACAGGUGGUGCAUGGUUGUCGUCAGCUCGUGUCGUGAGAUGUUGGGUUAAGUCCCGCAACGAGCGCAACCCUUAUUGUUAGUUGCCAUCAUUUAGUUGGGCACUCUAGCGAGACUGCCGGUGACAAACCGGAGGAAGGUGGGGAUGACGUCAAAUCAUCAUGCCCCUUAUGACCUGGGCUACACACGUGCUACAAUGGGAAGUACAACGAGUCGCUAGACCGCGAGGUCAUGCAAAUCUCUUAAAGCUUCUCUCAGUUCGGAUUGCAGGCUGCAACUCGCCUGCAUGAAGCCGGAAUCGCUAGUAAUCGCGGAUCAGCACGCCGCGGUGAAUACGUUCCCGGGCCUUGUACACACCGCCCGUCACACCACGAGAGUUUGUAACACCCGAAGUCGGUGAGGUAACCUUUUUGGAGCCAGCCGCCUAAGGUGGGAUAGAUGAUUGGGGUGAAGUCGUAACAA